This 254-nucleotide ribosomal RNA is filed under the name uncultured bacterium. RNAcentral's name for it is "partial 16S ribosomal RNA". It matches the Rfam family "Bacterial small subunit ribosomal RNA", at positions 524 to 776 of the family's 1533-position model. The record is from RNAcentral.
UACAGAGGGUGCGAGCGUUGUUCGGAAUUACUGGGCGCAAAGCGCGCGCAGGCGGCUCUUUAAGUCUCGUGGUCAAAUGCCGGGGCUCAACCCCGAGCGUGCCGGGGAUACUGGAGGGCUGGAGACAGGUAGAGGCAAGCGGAAUUCCGGGUGUAGCGGUGGAAUGCGUAGAGAUCCGGAAGAACACCGGUGGCGAAGGCGGCCUGCUGGGCAGUUGCUGACACUGAGGCGCGACAGCGUGGGGAGCAAACAGG